GUGACGACUCCACACACUUCCGCAAAGCGGUAAGUGUGGGCUUCUUAAGAAAUUAAGAGGUUCGUCAUUAGCCUCAGUAACCCGCCCGUGCGAGGGUUGCUACGUUUUUUAAGAAUGUAUAGGCACUUUGGGAUAUAGGGAGUAGCGCCCUGUCUUCUAGUCCCAAACACUGCGGCUUGUGGUUAAACAUCUCUACAGGUAGAGGAGAAGUGCUGCAAGUAAGAAACCUUGAAAAACAUUGGCGAAGAAGACCACGC
Non-coding RNA from Scytonema hofmannii PCC 7110, 257 nucleotides. It matches the Rfam family "HNH endonuclease-associated RNA and ORF (HEARO) RNA". The record is from Rfam. Lineage: Bacteria; Bacillati; Cyanobacteriota; Cyanophyceae; Nostocales; Scytonemataceae.